RNAcentral lists this ribosomal RNA (469 nucleotides) under uncultured bacterium. RNAcentral's name for it is "SSU rRNA". It matches the Rfam family "Bacterial small subunit ribosomal RNA", at positions 26 to 521 of the family's 1533-position model. The record is from RNAcentral.
AGCCUGAACGCUGGCGGCGUGGCUAAGACAUGCAAGUCGUACGGGUGUAGCAAUACACCAGUGGCGCACGGGUGAGUAAAGUAUCGCUAACGUACCCCGAAGUCUGGGAUAGCUGAGGGAAACUUCAGGUAAUACCAGAUGACAUCACUGAGGAGCAUUCCUCGGUGCUCAAAGGAGCAAUACGCUUUGGGAGCGGGCGAUAUCGUAUCAGCUAGUUGGUGAGGUAACGGCUCACCAAGGCGACGACGCGUAGCUGGUCUGAGAGGACGGCCAGCCACAUUGGGACUGAGACACUGCCCAGACUCCUACGGGGGGCUGCAGUAACGAAUCUUCCGCAAUGCACGAAAGUGUGACGGAGCGACGCCGCGUGUGGGACGAAGUUCUUCGGAAUGUAAACCACUGUCAGGGGUUAGAAAGUUCUGAUCAACCCAGAGGAAGGCACGGCUAACUCUGCGCCAGCAGCCGCGGU